GGAUAUGAACAUCGGUAGUAAGUUACGUAAGGAAGGGCAUGCAAUUCUACUUAACACUGCGAGGGAUUAUUAUAAGAAAGUUCCAAAAUCACAUGAGGCAAGGCUUAAGGAAAUGCUUGAGGGAUUUAAGACAUUUAAAGAA
This 142-nucleotide long non-coding RNA is filed under the name Polistes fuscatus (common paper wasp). RNAcentral describes it as "uncharacterized LOC122516737". The record is from RNAcentral. Lineage: Eukaryota; Metazoa; Arthropoda; Insecta; Hymenoptera; Vespidae.